GGCCCCAUGUGGGGUUGGACUCCAGCGUCCGACCCAGACAAGCCCUUGAGGCCGGGAAUCCCCAGUUCACGGAGGCGCAGGGAGACAGGGACCCCUGGCCACCGGUGCUGGAAGCCGGGCCGGCCCUGGAAAGACCUUUGGCAACAUGGGCUCAGCACCGUGGAAACGCUCGACAUCUCUGACCAGUAAUGCCACGUGUGGGAGGCUCUUCCAAGGAAAUUACCCCAAAUAUGGGGAGAGCGUUAGGCCCAAAGAUACUCACUGUAACGUUAUUUUUAACGACCAAAAAAAAAAAAAAUUGGAAGCAGCUGAAAUGUCCAACCAUCAGGGAGUAGUUUAGUAAAUUAUAGUCCACAGACUCGAUGGAAUACUAGGCAGUCAUUAAAAGUGAUCAUUACAAAGGCUGAGCGGUGAAAUGCAGACGCGUCUGCAGUGUAACGCGGAAGGGAGAGCAGCGGAUAGAACUGUGUGUGCAUUAGGGGUGUAACAUGUAAGAAACACGUGCAGCAGGAAAAAGCCUGGGGGGGUGGAGCGGCAGAGGACAGUGUGGUGAGCUGCGGAGGCGGAGAGCAGCUGCUCUUUUCUGUUUUCUGACUUUUCUAUAAAGUAUGAUAGCUUUAGUAAUUUAAGAUACAGGCACACCUCGCUUUACUGCGCUUCACGGAUACUGCAUUUUCCACAGACUGAAGGUCUGUGGGGACCCGAGUCUAUCGGCACCAUUUUCCCAAGAGCGUCUGCUCGCUUCGUGUCUCUGUGUCACAUUCUGGUAAUUCUUGAAAUAUUUCAAACCCUCCGCCAGCCAAAAGAUUACAACUCAUUAAAGGCUCAGAUGAUGGUUAUAGCAUUUUUUAGUGAUAAUGUAUUUUUCUUUAAGGUAGGUCCAUUGUUUUUUAGACAUAAGGUUAUUGCAUACUUAAUAGACUACAGUGUAGGGCAAACACAGCUUUUAUCUGCACUGGGAAACCGAGAAGUUGGUGUGAGUGGCUUUACCGCGAUACUCUCUUCUUUGCGGUGGUCUGGAGCCAAACCCGUGACAUCUCCGACGUGUGCCUGUGCUUAAUAAACAGAGUUAUUGCAGGAUGUCAGGAUUGUGAAACGGCCGUGAAGAACAAGCCUGUUUGUCAGAGGAGGAACUGGAGGCUUGAAGGCCUCAAGUAACCUGCCCAGAGCCAUGAAGCUGGUAAGUGGGUGAGCACCCCAGAAAUGGCUCUCCUAGGAUUGUGCAGUGUACAACUUACAUCACGGUCCAGGGCCUGCAUCAGGGUUCAGACCCAGGUCAACCCGAGUUCAGAGUCUGGGCUUUCCCACCUGGCCCCAGGCCCUGUGCCAGAAACACAACAAUGAGAAGUUGUCCUACAGGCCUCAGGGAGCUCAGAAAGCAGGGAGAGAGGAGGACACGGGAAAGAAAACCGCAAAGGUGAUGGAGACGAUGAUGGCGCUGCCGGUGAUAAAGGCACUGAUGGUCCUGGCGACGAAGGUGAUGGUGCCGGCAGUGGCCAUCAUUCGUUCAGUGCUCUUCAUGUACCAGGCACUGUGCUAAGUCUUUCAGAUAAAGUAUUUGGGAGGUGGGUACUAUCCUGCCUAUUUGGUCUUUCAGCCCGUGAAGGGAAGGGCUGAUAUUUUCACCUGAGUCCACAUGAUUCCUGGGUCUGGGCUGGACAAAGGCCCGAAGGAGGCUGGGUGUAAGGGGCUAGGACUGAGGUCUAUGCAGAGGGAGUCUAGCCCCUCCCCCUCCAGCAGAGGGAGGGGAGACACGAUGGGCAGAGCUGAUCCACAUUGUUGGGGGGGGCCCAGAUACGGCCCCUGCCUGGCGGGUUGAUGCCAGGCCAGCAGUGAGGGGACCAACAGCCCUGGGGUGCAGAUGCCUGGGGCUGAGUGGGGGGGCGUCAACCUGCUCGCGUUCCUGUUUUGCAGAUGGAGGUUGAACGCUGCGGAGGGGCAGGCGUAUCCGCCAUGGUUUUUAUUUUCUGUAUUUUACGACGCUUUGAUGUCUCAGGGGCCCUGCUGGCCAGGAAGAAAGUGCCCCUUGCCCCAGGGUUAGCUGGUCUGAGAGGUAACAGAUACUCCCAUGAGCGCGCCUAUCGUACGGAACCAGCCAACACAGAGCCCACCCCUCCUCUCUCAGGCUCCCACGCUCCCAGGGCAAUAUUUCCCUGCCCUCAGUCGCCCAGGGCCAGGAAGCAGACAGCUGGAGACCCCCCUAUAGCCCAGAGCCUGCCCCAGUUCUUCACUCCAUCCAACCAUAAGCCAGUGCACUGCUGACCCCGCCUCACCCUUUCCAUCCCCUGAAAACUGCAGUAAAGGCUCUGGGCCCUGCUGCCCCCAGGUUCCUUCUGCCUCUGGACUGACCCGCUGCUGCCCCGUGUGGCCCUGCCUGGCCUGCCCCCUCCUCUGGGGAACUGUGAGUGAUGAACUCUUCUUUCAAGGCAGUGGUCUCCACGUCUGUCACCUUACAUACCUGAUUAGGAUACAUCAUGGGUGCAAAUCUCAACAUGGCAGGGGGGGCCUUGGGCCACAUGGCAGAUGCAAGUUCAGACACAGGCUGUCUGGCUGGCCCGUCACGGAGCUGCUGAGGUGGGGUGAGCAGGGGUGAGCAGGGGCCACGGUUGUCCUGUGUGCUGGGUGGCCAUGGGGCAGUGGGAGGGGACGCGCCUUCUGAAUUCUGCUCAUCGCCCGCUGCUAGGUGACUGGGGCGGGUCUCCACCUCUCUGCGGGUCUCCUCUGUGGACUGGAGACCUGGGCCUGGGAGCUGCCGGCCGGCCGGGAGGGUGCCGUCCGAGCCAGGCUGCAGGGGGCCGCUGAGCUGAGCGCCAGGUGGGCAUGGGGCCGUCACCCCCCAGUAGAGCCACCGCCCUGCCCAGGACCCACUUGGCAGCCCCUGUAGGCGGCAGAGGGCAGGCAGGGCCAAAGCCGGGCUGGGGUGUAGGGGGAGGGCGGUAGCCGGCGGGCCCCCGGCCGCCUCACCCCUGUUCCUGCGGGUCGGCAUCUGGCCCUGGCCCAGCUCCCCUCCUCCGGGCCCGGUGCUCUCUGUCCACUGGGCCGCCUCCCCAGGGGUGCCAGGCCCUGAGUGCACGGCCACGGCCAGCCUGGCCGCGUCAUUGAAGGCUCCCUCCCGUAAUUGGCAAUUUUGUCAUAUUUAUUCACAACAGAUCGGAUCGCCAGGAGCUUGCUGCGGCUCUCCGGAGGCCCGCCGUGAAAUCGGUUUGAAAUGGUGUGUCAGGUUUUUCUCUCCCUGCUGAAGCGACCAUCUGGCUGCCGGGCCAGGGCUGGGCUGAUACACUGACCCGGGGAAUCGCGGCUAAGCCGCUCCCGGGGGCCCACACGCCCGCGCGCCGCUCUGGCCUCCCCCAUGGGCUCGGCUGCAGGGGGAGACCUGGGCGGGGCGGGGGGGCAGGAGGCGAGAGCCCCCGGGCACCACGCUGGCCAUCCAGGCACUGCCAGGUUGGCACCUCUCCCACAGCCCUACCCCGGGUGGCCCGGAUCUCAGCGGCUGAGCAGAAUUGAAGGGCGGAUUCUCAACCACUGCGCCACCAGGGCAGCCCCAAGGAAAAUAGCAAACACUGGCAAGGAUGUGGAGAAAUUGGAAUGCUUGCACCCUGUUGGUGGGAGUGUAAAUUGGUAACACAAUGGUGGAAAACAGUACAGAGUUUCCC
This is a long non-coding RNA of Orcinus orca (killer whale), 3653 nucleotides long. RefSeq lists it as uncharacterized. Lineage: Eukaryota; Metazoa; Chordata; Mammalia; Artiodactyla; Delphinidae. The record is from RefSeq and is a predicted model, not a curated record. The transcript is spliced from 4 exons.